Molecule: ribosomal RNA, 465 nt
Filed under: Vreelandella stevensii
Lineage: Bacteria; Pseudomonadati; Pseudomonadota; Gammaproteobacteria; Oceanospirillales; Halomonadaceae
Description: partial 16S ribosomal RNA
Rfam family: Bacterial small subunit ribosomal RNA
Source: RNAcentral
CCUACGGGAGGCAGCAGUGGGGAAUAUUGGACAAUGGGGGGAACCCUGAUCCAGCCAUGCCGCGUGUGUGAAGAAGGCCCUCGGGUUGUAAAGCACUUUCAGUGAGGAAGAACGCCUGGUGGUUAAUACCCAUCAGGAAAGACAUCACUCACAGAAGAAGCACCGGCUAACUCCGUGCCAGCAGCCGCGGUAAUACGGAGGGUGCGAGCGUUAAUCGGAAUUACUGGGCGUAAAGCGCGCGUAGGUGGCUUGAUAAGCCGGUUGUGAAAGCCCCGGGCUCAACCUGGGAACGGCAUCCGGGACUGUCAAGCUAGAGUGCAGGAGAGGAAGGUAGAAUUCCCGGUGUAGCGGUGAAAUGCGUAGAGAUCGGGAGGAAUACCAGUGGCGAAGGCGGCCUUCUGGACUGACACUGACACUGAGGUGCGAAAGCGUGGGUAGCAAACAGGAUUAGAUACCCGUGUAGUC